GACGAACGCUGGCGGCGUGCUUAACACAUGCAAGUCGAACGGAAUGGCCCUGCUUUUGUGGGUUUCUUGUUUGCCGAACGGGUGAGUAACACGUGUGUAACCUCCCCUUAACUUUGGGUUAACUUUAGGAAACUGGGGCUAUUACCGGAUAUGAUCUCUUGCUCCAUGUUGGGCGUUGGAAAGUUUCGGCGGUUGGGGAUGGACUCGCGGCUUACCCGCUUGUUGGUGGGGUAGUGGCUUACCAAGGCUUUGACGGGUAGCCGGCCUGAGAGGGUGACCGGCCACAUUGGGACUGAGAUACGGCCCAGAAUCAUACGGGAGGCAGCAGUGGGGAAUAUUGCACAAUGGGCGGAAGCCUGAUGCAGCAACGCCGCGUGCGGGAUGACGGCCUUCGGGUUGUAAACCGCUUUCGCCUGUGACGAAGCGUGAGUGACGGUAAUGGGUAAAGAAGCACCGGCUAACUACGUG
This 468-nucleotide ribosomal RNA is filed under the name uncultured bacterium. RNAcentral describes it as "partial 16S ribosomal RNA". It matches the Rfam family "Bacterial small subunit ribosomal RNA", at positions 28 to 507 of the family's 1533-position model. The record is from RNAcentral.